RNAcentral lists this ribosomal RNA (383 nucleotides) under uncultured bacterium. RNAcentral's name for it is "bacterial SSU rRNA". It matches the Rfam family "Bacterial small subunit ribosomal RNA", at positions 28 to 414 of the family's 1533-position model. The record is from RNAcentral.
GACGAACGCUGGCGGCGUGCUUAACACAUGCAAGUCGAACGAUGAACCACUUCGGUGGGGGAUUAGUGGCGAACGGGUGAGUAACACGUGGGCAAUCUGCCCUUCACUCUGGGACAAGCCCUGGAAACGGGGUCUAAUACCGGAUAACACUGCCACGGGCAUCUGUGGUGGUUAAAAGCUCCGGCGGUGAAGGAUGAGCCCGCGGCCUAUCAGCUUGUUGGUGAGGUAAUGGCNCACCAAGGCGACGACGGGUAGCCGGCCUGAGAGGGCGACCGGCCACACUGGGACUGAGACACGGCCCAGACUCCUACGGGAGGCAGCAGUGGGGAAUAUUGCACAAUGGGCGAAAGCCUGAUGCAGCGACGCCGCGUGAGGGAUGACGG